Molecule: ribosomal RNA, 252 nt
Filed under: uncultured bacterium
Lineage: Bacteria
Description: partial 16S ribosomal RNA
Rfam family: Bacterial small subunit ribosomal RNA
Source: RNAcentral
UACGUAGGGGGCAAGCGUUGUCCGGAAUCAUUGGGCGUAAAGCGCGUGUAGGUGGCUUGGUAAGUCCGGUGUGAAACCUUGGGGCUCAACCCCAAGCCUGCAUCGGAUACUGCCUCGCUUGAGUUCGGGAGGGGAGAGCGGAAUUCCUAGUGUAGGGGUGAAAUGCGCAGAUGUUAGGAAGAACACCGGUGGCGAAGGCGGAUCUCGGGCCUUACCUGACGCUCAGGCGCGAAAGCUAGGGGAGCGAACAGG